Molecule: ribosomal RNA, 253 nt
Filed under: uncultured bacterium
Lineage: Bacteria
Description: partial 16S ribosomal RNA
Rfam family: Bacterial small subunit ribosomal RNA
Source: RNAcentral
UACAGAGGGUGCGAGCGUUGUCCGGAAUCACUGGGCGUAAAGGGUGCGUAGGCGGGUCUUUAAGUCAGGGGUGAAAUCCUGGAGCUCAACUCCAGAACUGCCUUUGAUACUGAGGAUCUUGAGUUCGGGAGAGGUGAGUGGAACUGCGAGUGUAGAGGUGAAAUUCGUAGAUAUUCGCAAGAACACCAGUGGCGAAGGCGGCUCACUGGCCCGAUACUGACGCUGAGGCACGAAAGCGUGGGGAGCAAACGGG